RNAcentral lists this ribosomal RNA (253 nucleotides) under uncultured bacterium. RNAcentral describes it as "partial 16S ribosomal RNA". It matches the Rfam family "Bacterial small subunit ribosomal RNA", at positions 524 to 776 of the family's 1533-position model. The record is from RNAcentral.
UACGAAGGGGGCUAGCGUUGCUCGGAAUCACUGGGCGUAAAGGGCGCGUAGGCGGCCAUUCAAGUCGGGGGUGAAAGCCUGUGGCUCAACCACAGAAUUGCCUUCGAUACUGUUUGGCUUGAGUUUGGUAGAGGUUGGUGGAACUGCGAGUGUAGAGGUGAAAUUCGUAGAUAUUCGCAGGAACACCGGUGGCGAAGGCGGGUCUCUGGGCCGAUACUGACGCUGAGGAGCGAAAGCGUGGGGAGCGAACAGG